Molecule: ribosomal RNA, 465 nt
Filed under: uncultured bacterium
Lineage: Bacteria
Description: partial 16S ribosomal RNA
Rfam family: Bacterial small subunit ribosomal RNA
Source: RNAcentral
GACGAACGCUGGCGGCGUGCUUAACACAUGCAAGUCGAACGGAAAGGCCCUGCUUGCAGGGUACUCGAGUGGCGAACGGGUGAGUAACACGUGGGUGAUCUGCCCUGCACUUCGGGAUAAGCCUGGGAAACUGGGUCUAAUACCGGAUAGGAGCCAUUUUUAGUGUGAUGGUUGGAAAGUUUUUUCGGUGUAGGAUGAGCUCGCGGCCUAUCAGCUUGUUGGUGGGGUAAUGGCCUACCAAGGCGGCGACGGGUAGCCGGCCUGAGAGGGUGGACGGCCACAUUGGGACUGAGAUACGGCCCAGACUCCUACGGGAGGCAGCAGUGGGGAAUAAUGCACAAUGGGCGCAAGCCUGAUGCAGCGACGCCGCGUGGGGGAUGACGGCCUUCGGGUUGUAAACUCCUUUCGCUAGGGACGAAGCUUUUUGUGACGGUACCUAGAUAAGAAGCACCGGCUAACUACGUG